Molecule: non-coding RNA, 958 nt
Organism: Cinara cedri
Lineage: Eukaryota; Metazoa; Arthropoda; Insecta; Hemiptera; Aphididae
Source: the annotation of a GenBank genome assembly
AACAGGUAAAUGAUAAUAAUAAUAAUUUAAUUGAUAACAAUUAAUACAUAUUUAAAUUAACUUUUAUAAUACUACUACAAAUAAUACUGAAAAUUGUAUGAGCAUAGUGGUAAAAUGCAAUUAAGGUAAGACAUUUUUUUUUUUUUUUUUAAUUAUUAUUAUUAUUAUUGUUAUUACUUCAUAUAGUACAAUAAUGUAAAAUAAUAAUGCUCAAAUAUCCAUCAAUUUAAAAUCUCCAAUAUUUGAAAUACUAUUACGGGAUAAUUUAUAGUAUGUAUAGGUACGUGUUUAUUCACAUUAUUUUACUUCAUUCAACCAAAAAAAACUUCACGCUCAAAUCAAAUUCCUAAUAAAAUAAAUAUAAAAAGAACUCAUGAAAAAAGUUUACAAUAAGCAUUACCUCUAAAAAUAAGUUAUCUAAUAUAUAAAAACAAAAUCUAUUUAUUAAAAUGUAUAACAGAUAUCAAGAAAUACACAUAACGGAUGCUCCGGAAACAACUUUAAUUCUUGAAAAGGUUACAGAAAAAAUUGGUAGGUUGUUAUGAAAAAAAAAAAAAAACGAAAUUCUAUACACUAAUAUUAUAAAAAAAAAACUAUUAAUGGUUAUUUCUGGGUAACCGAAUCGUAGGUAUAAAAUAUAAGAUAUAAGUACUGGUACUGCAAGUAAAAAAUUAAUUCAUUAAUUUGGUUCAAUAAUUAGGACAAUCAUUUUUUUAUGGGACCGCUUAGCAUGACCGUUUAAUUGUGAGCCCCCCAUCACGUCAAGGUGGGUCCCGUUUGGGAGUACCAAACGUACCUGCCCUAACCCUUCAGCGAUAUUGUGGAAGAUGAAAUCAACAAAAUCCAACUGUUAAAUUUUAACAUAACGACGUUUUGUUAUCUAUGGAAAUUAUUAUAUUGAACAAAAAUAUAGAUUCAUGAUUUUAAGAAAGAAAAAUGAUCAAUGGAACAUUUCUUG